This 360-nucleotide ribosomal RNA is filed under the name uncultured bacterium. Its description in RNAcentral is "bacterial SSU rRNA". It matches the Rfam family "Bacterial small subunit ribosomal RNA", at positions 44 to 386 of the family's 1533-position model. The record is from RNAcentral.
GCGCAUAACACAUGCAAGUCGAACGAUGAAACUUCAAAGAUCCCUUCGGGGUGAAUUGAAAUGGAUUUGUGGCGAACGGGUGAGUAACGCGUGAGUAACCUGCCUUACACAAGGGGAUAGCCUCUGGAAACGGAGAAUAAUACCCUAUAACACCAUAAAAGGACAUCCAGUUAUGGUCAAAGUGUUAGCGGUGUAAGAUGGACUUGCGUCUGAUUAGCUAGUUGGUGAGAUAAAAGCUCACCAAGGCAACGAUCAGUAGCCGGCUUGAGAGAGUGUACGGUCACAUUGGGACUGAGACACGGCCCAGACUCCUACGGGAGGCAGCAGUGGGGAAUUUUGCACAAUGGGGGAAACCCCUGA